Molecule: microRNA precursor, 188 nt
Filed under: Oryza sativa Japonica Group (Japanese rice)
Lineage: Eukaryota; Viridiplantae; Streptophyta; Magnoliopsida; Poales; Poaceae
Description: MIR812 microRNA precursor family
Rfam family: MIR812 microRNA precursor family
Source: Rfam by way of RNAcentral
UCUCCGUUCAAAAAAAAACAUGAUUAAUAUUUUAUGUGUCCGUCUUAUAUAAAUUUUUUUUAUAAUUAGUAUUUUCAUUGUUGUUAGAUGAUAAAACAUGAUUAAUAAUUUAUGUGUGAAUUAUCUUUUUAAUUUUUUUCAUAUUUUUUUUAAAUAAGACGGACGGUCAAAUGUUAGACACGGAAAGC